CUGGCUCAGAACGAACGCUGGUGGCGUGUCUUAUACAUGCAAGUCGAGCGAGGCAGCAAUGCCGAGCGGCGAACGGGUGAGUAACGCGUAAGCAAUCUGCCCCAUAUCAGGAAAUACCCGUGCCAACGCGCGGUUAAUGUCCAGGAGAGUGGCUCCUUGCAUGAGGAGUUGACUAGAGAUUUAUCGGUAUGGGAUGAGCUUGCGUCCGAUUAGCUAGUUGGCGGGGCAACGGCCCACCAAGGCGACGAUCGGUAGCCGGCCUGAGAGGGUGAUCGGCCACAUUGGGACUGAGAUACGGCCCAGACUCCUACGGGAGGCAGCAGUAGGGAAUAUUGCACAAUGGGGGAAACCCUGAUGCAGCAACGCCACGUGUGGGAAGAAGCAUUUCGGUGUGUAAACCACUGUCAUGAGGGAAUAAGGCCCGCCUUCGGGCGGGAUUGAAUGUACCUUGAGAGGAAGCACCGGCAAACUUCGUGCCAGCCGCCGC
This 487-nucleotide ribosomal RNA is filed under the name uncultured bacterium. Its description in RNAcentral is "bacterial SSU rRNA". It matches the Rfam family "Bacterial small subunit ribosomal RNA", at positions 19 to 518 of the family's 1533-position model. The record is from RNAcentral.